CAGCGACGUCCGUCCCUGCAAGCCCGUUCAGUCGUCGGCCCAAGAGCCGGUUGCCCUUGGCCGCGCGCGGGUUUCCUGUGCUGCGUACCUACCGAACGGAAUUCGUGCGACGCAUCGUCCGCCGUUCGCCUUGUGCUGCGCCCCCUUGGGGUUGCGGCGCGGGGUGAACCCCAAAGCUGUUCUCGCGUUCCUCGCCGUGGCACGAAGCGUGCCGUCGGCGCGGCCCGCGAGUUAUGGCUCGUGCUCUCGGAUGCGGAACACUCGGAGGGCAGGAGGCCUGCGGCCUCCCUUCGCCCGAACGAACGAAGCGUUUACUCGCUCGCGACCGAACGACUGCCGUCGUUGCUUCGGGCGUCCUAUCCUUCGGGUUGGGACGUGCCCGUGCCGCGACGGCGUC
Molecule: unclassified non-coding RNA, 397 nt
Filed under: Guettarda boliviana
Lineage: Eukaryota; Viridiplantae; Streptophyta; Magnoliopsida; Gentianales; Rubiaceae
Description: partial external transcribed spacer
Source: RNAcentral